AUUCCCAGCUUUCCCUCUCAUCUCUUUUGCUCUGAGCUUUCCCUCUCAUCUCUUUCGCUCUGAGCUUUCCCUCUCUUCUCUUUCCCUCUCGAUCACAAACCAUCGUCACGUGUUUUUCGUUAAUGAGGUUUCGAGAAAGGGAAUGGGAUCGCGGUGCCGUUAAGGGCCGUCGUGCUCCGGUCUAACCGAGGGUUUGGAUCGACGACCGUUGCAUAGUGCUACUACAAGGAUGACGAGAAGAGGAGUGUGCGACACACGGCAUGCUUGACACACAGGGUUGCAAGCCGAAGCGUGGAGUGUAGUGGGUGAUGAUAGGGAAGCCUGGAGUUGGGAGGAACCUCUUAGCGUAGAGGCUCUCGAAGGUUCUAGAAGUUCCUCACAUUUCCAUGGCUAUGCUCCUCAGCCAGAACCUCAACCCUUGCUCCUACCUCUAUCACCAACGAGCAAAUGCCUUAGAUCAUGGAAAACUUGUCCCAGAGGAAAAUACUCUUUUAUGACCAUCACGCUUCGUUCUUUUUGCGCUCACGGUCACGCUAACAAAGUUCCUUCAUCUAGUAAGUAAUCCCUUUCUUCUUUGAUUCAUAAAUCCCUAAAAUUGCAAAACUCGAAAACCCUAAUUUGUUUCUUCUUUCUUCCUAUUGCACGUAACGAUAUGUGGUGUAGUUCGUAAGACGUUGUUCCAUUGUUACCAGAUAUCGAUUGAGGCGAGGGUGUUGCUUUUUGAAAACAUUCGAAGUGGUAGUAAGGUCUUAAUGGAUUAAUUAGUGGGUAUUCAGGAGCCUAACUUUGUGCAAUUGACCAAGUCGAUGGAUUCAUCCUUAUUUGCAAACACGAUAUGCAGGCUAUAUACAGGGAGAAUAUCAAAUAAAAGUAACUAAAAGUGCCCUGGCCUUGUUGCUAACCAGCAGGUACAAUGAAUUGGGAAAAAUACAUGUCCAUGGCCAAAUCUGCAUGUAUUGGUUAGGGAUCACUUGUAACACAAAUCUUCAUGAACUAGUUGAAAAUUAAAGUACCAAAGCUUAUCAACUUUAAGCUGACUGUUAACUUUUCUUCCAGGAUAUUACUUCUAGCUCUUUUGAUUACAAAAUUGGCUUUCUUAUGGAAAUCUCAUCUAUCAGAGAAUUACCUGAUAUGCAGGAACGAACCCAAGGGUGUUUGUGGUGUAUUGCCAUGUUCUUGCAACCAUUGAAUUUAUUUAAUUUAAUAUUUUUAUAGGAAUUAAAGUUGGCAACGCUAUUGUCAAGCAGCUGGAUGAUCUCAGUUGCCAAUGUUGUUCCAUUAUGGUGUGUUUCAAUAUUUCUUUUGUUGUUUCAUCUGUACCUAAUUUCAUUAUUAGAGAUGUGCUAGUCCAACUAUAUGUGCUUCGAUAUAUCUGGAGAUUCUAUUGGUAUCAGGGGUGAAACCUGAUGACAUAUGUUCCCAAGUUGGUUUAUGUUCCGCCAAAAGGAUUCAAUCUAAGAGAUUCCAUCAAGCUUGAAGAAGGUCUUCCACCCAAUAAUUUUUUGUGCAACAUUUGCAGAGCUAGCAACAAUUGUUUCAGAGUUUCUUUCUGAGUAUAACUUGAUUAUAUUUUAGGUGUAAAUUAUAGUUUAGUUAAUAUUCAAUUCUAUAUUGUACAA
This is a long non-coding RNA of Vigna angularis (adzuki bean), 1619 nucleotides long. RefSeq lists it as uncharacterized. The record is from RefSeq and is a predicted model, not a curated record. Lineage: Eukaryota; Viridiplantae; Streptophyta; Magnoliopsida; Fabales; Fabaceae. The transcript is spliced from 8 exons.